AAUCAUCAGCAGCGCCUGAGCCGUUGGGAAUUUUGGAACGCCGUCCGUCGGAUGAGAUCUCUCCAUCCCUCCCUCCUUCCCUCUCCUCCGAUUUCUGAGUUUCGAUUCGCCGAACCUCUCAUUCUCUAUUUCCGCUGCGUUCCCACUCCGAGCGCGUGGUCGGCGGCUGACCAGUCUUUCUUCCCCCACCAAGGAAGGCCGGGAGGCCUCCAUACUUGUCUCUCUCCCUCGCCUUCUUCUCGGGGAUGGCGGUCGGAGGAGGAGCCCAAAGGCUUCGGACGCGGCGCCUCUCUUUGCUUCUCGUAUCGGUUCUCCUCGUCGGCAGCGUCGUUGUUGGAGAGGAUCCUUCGUCGUCAUCAGGAAGAGGGGAGCGGGACCUCUACGCGUCGAAGCUCUCGGGGAUCAUCAUACCGGGGUUCGCGUCGACGCAGCUGAGGGCUUGGUCGGUUCUUGACUGCCCCUACUCCCCCCUCGACUUCAACCCUCUCGACUCCGUCUGGCUCGACACCACUCGAGUUCUUUCUGCUGUAAAUUGUUGGCUUAAGUGCAUGUUGCUGGAUCCUUACAAUCAAACUGAUCACCCUGAAUGCAAAUCAAGGCCUGACAGUGGUCUUUCUGCUAUCACUGAACUGGAUCCAGGAUAUAUAACAGGACCUCUUUCUUCCGUUUGGAAAGAAUGGCUUAAAUGGUGCAUUGAAUUUGGAAUCGAGGCUAAUGCAAUUAUUGCUGUUCCAUAUGAUUGGAGGUUAUCAGCAUCAAAGCUUGAGGAGCGAGACCUUUACUUUCACAAACUAAAGUUAACUUUUGAAACUGCACUUAAACUUCGUGGGGGCCCCUCUUUGGUGUUUGCUCAUUCAAUGGGAAACAAUGUUUUCCGCUACUUCUUAGAAUGGUUAAAACUUGAAAUUGCACCAAAGCAGUACAUCCAAUGGCUUGAUGCACACAUUCAUGCCUAUUUUGCUGUUGGAGCUCCUCUUCUUGGUUCUACUGAAUCGGUCAAGGCCACUCUAUUUGGAUUUACAUUUGGUCUUCCAGUUGCUGAGGGAACAGCACGAUUGAUGUAUAAUUCAUUUGGUUCUUCUUUAUGGCUGAUGCCAUUCUCAAAGCACUGUAAAGCAGAUGAUGUAUACUGGAAACAUUUUUUUGGAGAAAGGGAAGGUCAUCAUCAUACUUACCAUUGUGAUGAAAUAGAAUUUCAAACAAACUACUCUGGUUGGCCCACAGAGAUUAUAAAUAUUGAGCUUCCUUCUAUUCGAGGCUCAGAUGCUUUCCCAUCAAUCUUGGAUGUAGCUCAGGAUAUGACUUCUAACAUGGAAUGUGGAAGACCUAUUCAAUUAUCUUUUUCUGCUAGAGAAGUUUCCGACGGCACCUUCUUCAAAGCAAUAGAGGACUAUGAUCCAGAUAGCAAAAGACUCCUGUACCAGCUGCAGAAGUACUACCAGGAUGACCCAGUGCUGAAUCCUCUAACACCUUGGGAGAGACCUCCACUAAAGAACAUCUUUUGCAUAUAUGGGAUUGAUUUAAAGACUGAGGUCGGAUACUAUUUUGCACCCAGUGGCAAACCAUAUCCUGAUAACUGGAUCAUAACUGAUGUUAUUUAUGAACAUGAAGGAGCCCUGUUUUCAAGAUCUGGUAAUUCAGUUAGCGGGAAUCCUGGAGCUGUGAGUGGGGAUGGAACCGUUCCAUAUAACUCCCUCUCGUGGUGCAAGACCUGGCUUGGUUCCAAGGUAAACAUAACAAGAGCUCCACAGGCUGAGCAUGAUGGAUCGGAUGUUCAGAUAAGCCUGAACGUAGAGCACCAUCAGGGUGAAGACAUACUCCCAAACAUGACAAGGACUCCUCGUGUCAAGUAUAUAACCUACUAUGAAGAUUCUGAAAGCAUUCCGGGAAGGAGGACAGCAGUUUGGGAACUGGAUAAGGAAACUGUUUUGGAUGGUGAGGCUACUACUAGAGAGACAACCUUCUGCCAGAAGAUGCAAGUUGUGUGUGUUGCCCUGCUUUUGUUCAAAUUUUCCUGCAAAUCACAGAAAUCUUGUUAGAUCUCAAGUUUUAAUGCGUGAGUUAUGGCUUGAAAUGUGGCAUGAUAUACAUCCUGACGCAACAUCAAAAUUUGUUAAAAAAGCCAGGCGUGGUCCAUUGAGGGAUGCAGACUGCUACUGGGAUUAUGGGAAAGCUCGGUGUGCCUGGCCUGAAUAUUGUGAAUACAGGUAUGCAUUUGGUGAUGUUCACCUUGGGCAGAGCUGCAGGCUGAAGAAUUCUUCUACGGACCUCCUCUUGAAUUAUCUAUAGAGGCAAGAUCUUCUCAGGAUGGACAGGUUUUUCGGCUUUUCCAUUUUUUUUUGCACGUGACUGUUUAACAACACCAGAAUAAUCACUGAAGAGCAAUUGAUUCUACUUGGGUCAGAAAAGGAGAAAAAUGGGAUGUACAUUACACAAAUUGGCAGCUCACAAAUGUAUCGGUUGAUCUUUUUCAUCUCUGAGAACUCUCUUGGCCAAUUCUUGGAACUUUAAAGACGUCCCUGCUGGUCUGUUCUUCGGAACUUGAAAGACAUCAUUGGUUCGCCUCAGCAGCAGGAUGGCUAGAGUGAGAAUUGCAAUAUGUUGUACCUGUGGUAUAAUUGAGCAUAUUUAAGCAUCCACAUGUACCAUUAUUUUCUAACCAUAAAAUUGUAAGUUUGCUUCAUUAAGUGAGCUACUAGUUCGCUACAAACUACCAUCUUCUGUAUUCUUGUUUUAGUUCUUGCGAGAUUCAUUUCUGUAGCAGCAGGGAAACUUCUGAUGGAUU
This is a non-coding RNA of Elaeis guineensis (African oil palm), 2785 nucleotides long. The record is from RefSeq and is a predicted model, not a curated record. NCBI's taxonomy places the organism in Eukaryota, Viridiplantae, Streptophyta, Magnoliopsida, Arecales, Arecaceae.